Molecule: transfer RNA, 71 nt
Filed under: Bos taurus (domestic cattle)
Lineage: Eukaryota; Metazoa; Chordata; Mammalia; Artiodactyla; Bovidae
Also listed under: 4 other names
Rfam family: tRNA
About the family: Transfer RNA (tRNA) molecules are approximately 80 nucleotides in length. Their secondary structure includes four short double-helical elements and three loops (D, anti-codon, and T loops).
Source: Rfam by way of RNAcentral
UCCCUGGUGGUCCAAUAGUUAGGACUCGGUACUUUGAUUGUUGUGGUCUGGGUUCAGCCCUAGUUAGGGAA